RNAcentral lists this small nuclear RNA (96 nucleotides) under Salvator merianae (Argentine black and white tegu). Lineage: Eukaryota; Metazoa; Chordata; Lepidosauria; Squamata; Teiidae. The record is from RNAcentral.
GUGCUCACUUCGGCAGCAAAUAUACUAAAAUUGGAAUGAUAUAGAGGAGUUUGGUGCAAGGUUGACUUGCAAAUUCAUUAAGUGUUUCAUUUUUUU